UUAAUGGACGGAAUGUAUGUCCGGGUGCGUCAUGAAUAAAUCAUUAUCAUUAUGACCGAUUUAUUGAGGAGUUUCGCGUCGCGUUCCCGUGCUCCAAAGCGUGGGAUAGUUAGAUUUGUGCGGUUCUUUGUGGAAAUGUAUCUAUUCCAUGAUUUAGUGUUUAGUCCUGUUGCAAGUUGUUGUCAAAUUUGAAUUUAUUUCUUUCCGAAACCGAGUGCCGAACAAGGAAGGCAAGCGUAGAAGGCAAGCGUAAGCUUCAGUCACCCGUUCAAGACGUUCGUUUACAAAGUGAAUGUUUAAUCGUUGCAAACUGUUUCUACUGCUGGUUUUUUGCUCGUAACCGAACAAGGAUGUAUGGUCCAAUGGUUUGUGAAUUGAUCGUCAUUAAUUGUUGGUGCGGCGUUAGUGCGGGUUCAGCCAUAGCUUAAGUCGUAGCCGGCGCGGAUGCGUUUGCAGGUUUGGCGUACAAAGUGGGGGACAAAAACACGGCGUGGGAACGAAUACGGUCGCAUUUCUGAAGCACCCUCGAAAGCGUCGCAUCCUUUCUGCUCGCCUUAAAAGAAACGCUGCACCAUAAGCACCCCGAGCGAUCCAGCCAGUACGGAACACACUUUGUUGCGCAUAAAGAUAGCCCUGCGAUCGAUAGUUCUGGAUCCUUGGCACGAGAAUGCUUGGAUCCGGUACGUUUCCCUCGCGGCAAACGAAUAGUGCGGGUACUCCCGAUACUUGAUGGUAAUUGUUCCCGGCACACGGAUGCAUCAUCGGAUAAAAGUAAUUCUUUUUAUUAUGUGAAACGCAAUGCACUCGAAACGUGUGCUUACUUUUCAUUUCCGAAGCUGUGCUGCGAUCCCGCUGUAUACGCUUGCCGUCGUCGUCAUCGUCGUAAGUUGAUCCGUGUCAGUCCGGGAGUCACCGGGCCCCCAGGGGGCGGCAAUGGCAAUGGAACGGGAAAUCGGUUCGUCGAUCCAACGCGGCAGAGGACUCUUUCUCCCUGGCAAAAGUCCCUGGAGUGACAUUUUUCAUGCAAAUUCUGUGUAGUGGAAACGAAACCACCUGACGAUUGGACGACGCGUUUCGACGAUAUGGGGAGAGAGGGAGAGAGAGAGCGUUCUUAUGCAACCCGGGAACAGUAGG
Molecule: RNA transcript, 1134 nt
Organism: Anopheles arabiensis
Lineage: Eukaryota; Metazoa; Arthropoda; Insecta; Diptera; Culicidae
Exons: 3
Source: RefSeq, a predicted model, not a curated record